CAUAGAUUUCAUUGCUGAGUGAUACUGCAUUGUACUUAGAUUCAUCAUACCUGAAUCCACUCAUUAUGCUGCUACGGGCCUGAUGACAUAGAUUUCAUUGCUGAGUGAUACUGCAUUGUACUUAGAUUCAUCAUACCUGAAUCCACUCAUUAUGCUGCUACGGGCCUGAUGACAUAGAUUUCAUUGCUGAGUGAUACUGCAUUGUACUUAGAUUCAUCAUACCUGAAUCCACUCAUUAUGCUGCUACGGGCCUGAUGACAUAGAUUUCAUUGCUGAGUGAUACUGCAUUGUACUUAGAAUCAUCAUACCUGAAUCCACUCAUUGUGCUGCUAUGGGCCUGAUGACAUAGAUUUCAUUGCUGAGUGAUAUUGCAUUGUACGUAAGUACCACAACUUCUUUAUCCAGUUUUCACUUUCUGUGAUAUUGAACUUGUACCGUAAACGAGGUUCUUGUAA
Molecule: long non-coding RNA, 455 nt
Organism: Orcinus orca (killer whale)
Lineage: Eukaryota; Metazoa; Chordata; Mammalia; Artiodactyla; Delphinidae
Exons: 5
Source: RefSeq, a predicted model, not a curated record